GCGUGAGAGAAAACUAGUCUAGGGCGGCGCCAACACGGUCCACGGGGACCGCUGCUCGGCGCAACUGCCGCUUAAGAGGCCGCCGGGCGGCUUGACGGGCCGGAGGCGAGGCCAGGUAGCGCCGGCGAGCCUCGGCGGCGGGGCGACUCAACCAAGGCGGCUUCGCUGCAAUGGCGGAGGCCCUUGGGCGAUGCCGUGACGCAGGAGCAGCCGAAGGCGUUCGUUGGCGCGAGGGACGGUGGCAGUGCAGGUGAACUGGGUGGAUGAAGAGGAGUCGUGUCGGCGGCUCGCGGCAGAGGCAAGGCCGUGGGAACGCGGCGCCGGCGAAUUGGAGGCGCGAACCUGCAACGACGGACCAUCCGUGUCCGGGUCGUGGCCUUUUUUUUUCAAGGGCCAGACUCAUGUAGUAACCUCCUGCUGAUUUCCUUGUGUGCUUAGUACCGAUCGGAGUUGACCAAAGGGAUAAGGGAAACGGUUCAGUUCGGCGCACCGGCCGAAACUGGGCCGGUUCCUCCUCGUCGCGCAGCGGACACGCACGUGGACUCACGUGUCUGCUUGACUACCGCUCGUGAAACCUUAUCCUCACCCCCACGCGAAUAUCUAUCCAGUUUCUUUCCCUGCCGCUCUUCUCUCUGUCUCUCAAUCCCCACAAUCCCAACGCCGGUGACUGUGCUUGAGGGGUCCGUGCUUGAGGUGCGCCGCGAGCGGGGAGCUGCGUCCAUGAAGCGCCACCACGACGAGCUGCGCCCGCGGCCACGGCGAGCUGCGCGGCCGUGCCCAUCGAGCGAGGUCGUGGAGCGGCCGGCCUGUGGCGGAGGCUGUUUGUGUCCUCGGCCCGACGACGAUGCGCAGAGGGGACGCGCUGGGGACCCGGUGCUGGAACCGGCAUGGGGAUCUGCUUCAACCAGCAGCGGGAUUUGCUUCAACGGCGAGGAUGGUGGUGGACGGCGACAAAGGUGUCCGUCGUGGAGAGGACAAUGUCGGGCGACCACGGCCGCAGGUGCCAUGAUUUUUGCUGCACAGAUUUUUUGCUGGAACCAACAUUUUGACUUGUUGCAAUCGGCAAGGAUGGUGCUGGGGCAGCUACGGCGACGACGCCAUGAUUUUUUUGUUUGCUGCAUUGAUCUUUUUUCUUCUUUUGAGGAACCAUUUUUCAUUUUUGCUGGAACUAUAUCAAUUUUUUGUUGGAACCAUGUGUGCUUUUUGCUGGAACCAUAUCAAUGUAUUUCGCUGGAAUCAUAGCAUUUUUGCUGCAACCACAUUAUUAUUUGCUGGAACCAUAUUAAUUAUUUGCUGGAACCAUGUGGUUUGCUUUCAAGCUGGCAUUGCUUUGUUUUUUCUGCUGCAACCGACGAGCGGCGAUGCCGACGGCGAGCGACGAGCGUUGGGGAACCAGCGGAGCUUCCAGGUCGCGCGGGCAUGGAGGUCGCGCGGGCAUGGAUCGAUGACACUUUUUGUGUUUUGUUUCCUUUGUGCGUGCGGGAAAUGACAGAAAAAGGGAAGGAAGAGGAGAAGAGAUCUGAUGGUUCGCUACUUCCAAAUCGGAUGGCUAGCAGCCGACCGGCCGAGAGAUUAGGCCGGUGCGCCGGCGCCUAUCGUUGCCCAAGGGAUAAACCUAUUUGGCUGAGAUGAUGUACAAGUCGAAGAUGCCCUAGCAGUGAAAUCCUUGGGUUUGAUGCUUCAUGUGACGAAACAGUACUCUUGUCUGUAUUCUUUGAAAUUGAUACAUGGCCUCUGCCGCUUGUUGCUUU
Long non-coding RNA from Triticum dicoccoides, 1751 nucleotides. RefSeq lists it as uncharacterized. The transcript is spliced from 2 exons. The record is from RefSeq and is a predicted model, not a curated record. Lineage: Eukaryota; Viridiplantae; Streptophyta; Magnoliopsida; Poales; Poaceae.